AUUGAACGCUGGCGGCAGGCCUAACACAUGCAAGUCGAGCGGAUGAAGGGAGCUUGCUCCUGGAUUCAGCGGCGGACGGGUGAGUAAUGCCUAGGAAUCUGCCUGGUAGUGGGGGAUAACGUCCGGAAACGGGCGCUAAUACCGCAUACGUCCUGAGGGAGAAAGUGGGGGAUCUUCGGACCUCACGCUAUCAGAUGAGCCUAGGUCGGAUUAGCUAGUUGGUGGGGUAAAGGCCUACCAAGGCGACGAUCCGUAACUGGUCUGAGAGGAUGAUCAGUCACACUGGAACUGAGACACGGUCCAGACUCCUACGGGAGGCAGCAGUGGGGAAUAUUGGACGAUGGGCGAAAGCCUGAUCCAGCCAUGCCGCGUGUGUGAAGAAGGUCUUCGGAUUGUAAAGCACUUUAAGUUGGGAGGAAGGGCAGUAAGUUAAUACCUGGCUGUUUUGACGUUACCAACAGAAUAAGCACCGGCUAACUUCGUG
Molecule: ribosomal RNA, 484 nt
Filed under: uncultured bacterium
Lineage: Bacteria
Description: partial 16S ribosomal RNA
Rfam family: Bacterial small subunit ribosomal RNA
Source: RNAcentral